This 477-nucleotide ribosomal RNA is filed under the name uncultured bacterium. RNAcentral's name for it is "bacterial SSU rRNA". It matches the Rfam family "Bacterial small subunit ribosomal RNA", at positions 28 to 517 of the family's 1533-position model. The record is from RNAcentral.
GAUGAACGCUAGCGGCAGGCCUAAUACAUGCAAGGCGAAGGGGCAGCAAUGUCACUGUCGUACGGGUGCGUAACGCGUAUGCAACCUACCUAUCACAGGGGAAUAGCCUUUGGAAACAGGGAUUAAUACCGCAUAAAGCAGGGACACCGCAUGGUGAUAUUGCUAAAGAUUUAUCGGUGAUAGAUGGGCAUGCGUCUGAUUAGUUAGUUGGCAGGGUAACGGCCUACCAAGACGAUGAUCAGUAGGGGGCGUCAGAGCGUGGUCCCCCACACUGGCACUGAGAUACGGGCCAGACUCCUACGGGAGGCAGCAGUAGGGAAUAUUGGGCAAUGGAUGCAAGUCUGACCCAGCCAUGCCGCGUGCAGGAAGAAGGUCCUCUGGAUUGUAAACUGCUUUUAUCGGGGAAGAAUAGUUUCUUGCGAGGGAAUGUGACGGUACCCGAUGAAUAAGCCACGGCUAACUACGUGCCAGCAGCCG